RNAcentral lists this ribosomal RNA (440 nucleotides) under uncultured bacterium. RNAcentral's name for it is "partial 16S ribosomal RNA". It matches the Rfam family "Bacterial small subunit ribosomal RNA", at positions 338 to 795 of the family's 1533-position model. The record is from RNAcentral.
CCUACGGGCGGCAGCAGUAGGGAAUAUUGCUCAAUGGGGGAAACCCUGAAGCAGCAACGCCGCGUGGAGGAUGAAGGUUUUCGGAUUGUAAACUCCUUUUGUUAGAGACGAUAAUGACGGUAUCUAACGAAUAAGCACCGGCUAACUCCGUGCCAGCAGCCGCGGUAAUACGGAGGGUGCAAGCGUUACUCGGAAUCACUGGGCGUAAAGCGCGCGUAGGCGGGAUAGCAAGUCAGAUGUGAAAUCCUAUGGCUUAACCAUAGAACUGCAUUUGAAACUGUUAUUCUAGAGUAUGGGAGAGGUAGGUGGAAUUCUUGGUGUAGGGGUAAAAUCCGUAGAGAUCAAGAGGAAUACUCAUUGCGAAGGCGACCUGCUAGAACAUAACUGACGCUGAUGCGCGAAAGCGUGGGGAGCAAACAGGAUUAGAUACCCCAGUAGUC